Molecule: ribosomal RNA, 371 nt
Filed under: uncultured Bacillota bacterium
Lineage: Bacteria; Bacillati; Bacillota
Description: bacterial SSU rRNA
Rfam family: Bacterial small subunit ribosomal RNA
Source: RNAcentral
UGAGUAACGCGUGGGUAACCUGCCCUAUGCAGGGGGAUAACACAUCGAAAGAUGUGCUAAUACCCCAUAAUACUAAUCAUGCACAUGCUUGAUUAGUCAAAGGGUUUCCGGCAUAGGAUGGACCCGCGUCUGAUUAGCUAGUUGGUGGGGUAAAGGCCUACCAAGGCGACGAUCAGUAGCCGACCUGAGAGGGUGAUCGGCCACACUGGAACUGAGACACGGUCCAGACUCCUACGGGAGGCAGCAGUGGGGAAUAUUGCACAAUGGGCGAAAGCCUGAUGCAGCAACGCCGCGUGAGCGAUGAAGGCCUUCGGGUCGUAAAGCUCUGUCCUAAGGGAAGAAUAAUGACGGUACCUUAGGAGGAAGCCCCG